Molecule: long non-coding RNA, 323 nt
Filed under: Homo sapiens (human)
Lineage: Eukaryota; Metazoa; Chordata; Mammalia; Primates; Hominidae
Description: non-protein coding lnc-HRCT1-7:2
Source: RNAcentral
GUAAAUCUAAGUGAUGUACUACGAGGCAAUCACUGGAGCUGUGCUAAAAGUCUGACUGUCUCUGGGUGCUUGAGGCUUAGGUUGUUUUCUUUCAUCUCCUCCUUUGUGUUCACCCAUUUGAAAUCAUCUCCAUUCAGGAGAAAACAAGAUGGAACCCAGUGACUGGCCACCAUGGACACAUGCAAGGGAGAAGGAGAAGUCCCCAGUAGGAAAAGGUGACACGCCUGUCCCCCUUUGUCUUCUGCCAUGAGUGGAAACUUCCUGAGGCCUCACCAGAAGCUGAGCAGAUGCUGGUACCAAACUUGUACAGCCUGUAGAACCAC